This 856-nucleotide ribosomal RNA is filed under the name Leuconostoc mesenteroides. RNAcentral's name for it is "bacterial SSU rRNA". It matches the Rfam family "Bacterial small subunit ribosomal RNA", at positions 56 to 905 of the family's 1533-position model. The record is from RNAcentral. Lineage: Bacteria; Bacillati; Bacillota; Bacilli; Lactobacillales; Lactobacillaceae.
UGCAGUCGACGCACAGCGAUGGUGCUUGCACCUCUUCAAGUGAGUGGCGAACGGGUGAGUAACACGUGGACAACCUGCCUCAAGGCUGGGGAUAACAUUUGGAAACAGAUGCUAAUACCGAAUAAAACUUAGUGUCGCAUGACAAAAAGUUAAAAGGCGCUUCGGCGUCACCUAGAGAUGGAUCCGCGGUGCAUUAGUUAGUUGGUGGGGUAAAGGCCUACCAAGACAAUGAUGCAUAGCCGAGUUGAGAGACUGAUCGGCCACAUUGGGACUGAGACACGGCCCAAACUCCUACGGGAGGCUGCAGUAGGGAAUCUUCCACAAUGGGCGAAAGCCUGAUGGAGCAACGCCGCGUGUGUGAUGAAGGCUUUCGGGUCGUAAAGCACUGUUGUAUGGGAAGAACAGCUAGAAUAGGAAAUGAUUUUAGUUUGACGGUACCAUACCAGAAAGGGACGGCUAAAUACGUGCCAGCAGCCGCGGUAAUACGUAUGUCCCGAGCGUUAUCCGGAUUUAUUGGGCGUAAAGCGAGCGCAGACGGUUUAUUAAGUCUGAUGUGAAAGCCCGGAGCUCAACUCCGGAAUGGCAUUGGAAACUGGUUAACUUGAGUGCAGUAGAGGUAAGUGGAACUCCAUGUGUAGCGGUGGAAUGCGUAGAUAUAUGGAAGAACACCAGUGGCGAAAGGCGGCUUACUGGACUGCAACUGACGUUGAGGCUCGAAAGUGUGGGUAGCAAACAGGAUUAGAUACCCUGGUAGUCCACACCGUAACGAUGACACUAGUGUUAGGAGGUUUCCGCUCUUAGUGCUGAGCUACGCAUAGUGUCGCUUGGGGGAGUACGACGCAAGGUUGAACUCAAA